GGCCGCGGGAAUUCGAUUAGAGUUUGAUCAUGGCUCAGGAUGAACGCUAGCGGCAGGCCUAACACAUGCAAGUCGAGGGGUAACAGGGAAAAGCUUGCUUUUCCGCUGACGACCGGCGCACGGGUGCGUAACGCGUAUGCAACCUACCUCUUACUGGGGUAUAGCCCAGAGAAAUUUGGAUUAAUCCCCCAUAGUACCACUUCACCGCAUGGUGAUGUGGUUAAAGAUUACGGUAAGAGAUGGGCAUGCGUCCCAUUAGUUAGUUGGUGAGGUAACGGCUCACCAAGACUUCGAUGGGUAGGGGUUCUGAGAGGAUGAUCCCCCACACUGGUACUGAGACACGGACCAGACUCCUACGGGAGGCAGCAGUGAGGAAUAUUGCGCAAUGGACGAAAGUCUGACGCAGCCAUGCCGCGUGCAGGAUGACGGCGCUAUGCGUUGUAAACUGCUUUUAUUUACAAAGAAACCUCGGGACGUGUCCCGAGCUGACGGUAGUAUUUGAAUAAGCACCGGCUAACUCCGUGCCAGCAGCCGCGGUAAUACGGAGGGUGCAAGCGUUAUCCGGAUUUAUUGGGUUUAAAGGGUCCGUANGCGGAUGAUUAAGUCAGUGGUGAAAGCCCACAGCUCAACUGUGGAAAUGCCAUUGAUACUGAUCAUCUUGAGUACGAUUGAAGUUGGCGGAAUAGAUCAUGUAGCGGUGAA
Molecule: ribosomal RNA, 702 nt
Filed under: uncultured Bacteroidota bacterium
Lineage: Bacteria; Pseudomonadati; Bacteroidota
Description: uncultured Bacteroidetes bacterium partial 16S ribosomal RNA
Rfam family: Bacterial small subunit ribosomal RNA
Source: RNAcentral